CCCCUACAAAUGGUAUCAAAGCCCAGUAAUUUAAAAAAUACAGAAGUGAGAUAUAUGUUAAGUGAGAUAUGUGAGAUAUAUCUAUUAGAGUUAUCAUCAGAAUUUACCUAUAAAUUAUUAAAUUAAUUAUGAGAAGACCAUUUAAAAAUAGAGAAGCUUUUAGAAAAAUUAAAGAAUCUUUAAUUAGUAAUUAUUCAGAAUAUAUAAGUCUAAAUAAAACAAAAGAAAACCCACA
This 235-nucleotide long non-coding RNA is filed under the name Capsicum annuum. RNAcentral's name for it is "long non-coding RNA (CANN_LNC018685)". Lineage: Eukaryota; Viridiplantae; Streptophyta; Magnoliopsida; Solanales; Solanaceae. The record is from RNAcentral.